UACGGGGGGAGCAAGCGUUGUUCGGAUUUACUGGGCGUAAAGGGCGCGUAGGCGGCCAGCACAAGUCAGUUGUGAAAUCUCCGAGCUUAACUCGGAAAGGUCAACUGAUACUGUGCGGCUAGAGUGCGGAAGGGGCAACUGGAAUUCUUGGUGUAGCGGUGAAAUGCGUAGAUAUCAAGAGGAACACCUGCGGCGAAGGCGGGUUGCUGGACCAACACUGACACUGAGGAGCGAAAGCCAGGGGAGCAAACGGG
This 254-nucleotide ribosomal RNA is filed under the name uncultured bacterium. RNAcentral describes it as "partial 16S ribosomal RNA". It matches the Rfam family "Bacterial small subunit ribosomal RNA", at positions 524 to 776 of the family's 1533-position model. The record is from RNAcentral.